Molecule: long non-coding RNA, 2086 nt
Organism: Ictalurus punctatus (channel catfish)
Lineage: Eukaryota; Metazoa; Chordata; Actinopteri; Siluriformes; Ictaluridae
Source: Ensembl
GCGGGGGGGUGAGAGAGCAGAGCAGGUGAUCACUUGGCGCACUGGAAAGCAGAACUUGAUGGAACUGGUGCGCGCGCCCUGGGAAUAGUUCCCCUCAUUAACGACAAUUUGAAAUUACACUGGCGGCGUUCCAUCAAAUCGUCAAAGAAGCACACAUCUGAAAGAACACUUGCGUUUCGUUCAUCAUCAAAGAAAAAAGCGACGGGCCUGUUUGUUCCUGAUUUAAUGAGGCGUGAAUAAACAACACGAGUAGGCCUAAACAGCUUUCAUAAUUUAAUUCUCAGGUGGGAUGGAUUUAUGCUUCCCUUCACGUGGUCUUUUUUCAUGGCCCCGGUUCCUGCACGACAUCUGCCUCAUGGUUUUGCCAUGUUGUGUGUUCUGAGAUGCUUUUCUGCUCAACGUGGUUGUAAAAAGUGGUUAUUUGAGUAACCGCAGUCUUCCUGUCAGCUCAGACCAGUUUGGCUAUUCUCUUCUGAGCUCUCUCACUAACAAGGAGAUCAACCUUUACUGAAAUACGUCUGGCACCAUCAACCAUUCAGAAAAGCUUAGUGAAAUGUCUGACGCCACCGGUCAUUAAGUUAGACACUGAAAUUUUACGGUAUUUAUUUUGUGUCAACGUCUGGCUAGUCAUCUGAUGGCCUAAUUAGGAAGGAAUUUAUCUAAAACUCAGCAUCUUUCCACAACCCAGCCGCAGUCCAAGAAAUGCUCUGUUCCAUUUGGUGAGAGCUGUCAAGGUAAAGACGUGCUGUUAAAAUAAUGAAAAAUGAAAAUUCUCCGGAGCCUUCCUUUUAAAUGCUUGAAUGCUACUGUUUAGGGGAAGCACACCUGCUUUUGGAGUAAAAGACACACACACCCACACACGCACACACACACACAGAUGGGUUUCAGCGCAGCACUGCGGGUGAAAUUGCAGACACAUGUUGGCUCUCAAGGUAAGAAAUCAGACCCUACAAGGGCUUGAAACCUCUUCUGUGACCUUUAGAGGAUGCAGACUGGGGGCCAGGGUCAAGCACACAGAAAUGAGAUGGAUGAGAUGGGACAAAAUGUAAUUCCAUAUGGUUACAGCGAUACCAUUUCGUCUUCGUGCACACUUUGAAAGAUAACUACAGCAAUUUACUGGUAGCAGAGUGUUUUUACUGUAGAUACGUGUAAAUAUAAUGACUGUAUGAACUAAAACAGAAUAGAAGAUAAAAUAAAACCCCCUGCAUUUGGUCAUGUGGUUUUAUCCAAAGCAACUUAUGAGUGAGAGAGGAUACAAGUCAGAUAUUGAAGGUUAAGGGUUUCGUUCAAAAACCAAACCAUGGCAGCUUGGAGAUGUUCGGAUUUGAACGCACAACCUUUGGAUAUAUAAUUCAAAACCUUACCUACUGAGCCACCAUGUCUAUCUCCAUCCGCUUGCAUUGAUUCACCCACCUCCACCACUGAAUGAACUCACGCUAAAAGAUGAAUUUCAGUGCUUUAUCAAACCAAAGUUUUUACUAGCAUAUAAAACUCAAACAGGGUGUGUAUUCACCUAAAAUAGUUGCUAAAAUGAAGUGAUCCAUUAAUUUGCAGAUGUUAAUAGAAGGAGAUUUUGUUUUUGUACUAUUCUCACCCCUAAAAACUUUUGAUAUACCACUAUGCAUAGUUUUCUCUGGUAUUUUAUUGUAAACCAGAACACUGCUUUAUUUGCCUAAUUUUUUAAAGUAUAAUUCUGUAAACCAUAAGCGAGUAUUUUACUGUAAAACCAUCACUGUAUAUUUACAGUGAAGGACCAAAAAAAUAAUCCACACAAAGAGAAUCAAUACGUUCUUCUCUUGUCAAAGGUAUUCUUAAAGGCUAUCUGGAAAAAUAUAUAUAUAUAUAUACAGUAGACUGCACUAAUAUUGGCACUCUAACAGUAGUAAAUAUGAGUAAAGAAAGCUGUGAAAAAUUGGCUUUAUUGUUUAACCGUUUGAUCUUUGAUUCCAAAAGUUCACAAAAAUACUCUGCUGUCAUAGAUAUCAAACAAUUGCAAACACAGCACAGGUUUAUCAACAACAAAAAAAGUUCUGUUUUUCUGCCAGAGGACCUGGACAUAUUGUUAGGAUACAUGGCAUCCUGGACU